Molecule: long non-coding RNA, 1438 nt
Filed under: Homo sapiens (human)
Lineage: Eukaryota; Metazoa; Chordata; Mammalia; Primates; Hominidae
Description: long intergenic non-protein coding RNA 3125
Source: RNAcentral
CCAGAGCAGGAAGAGCAGAGGUUCUGGGAAACAACCCCAAGGAGAGAGACAGGGCAUUUGUGAGCUGUGCAGCCUCCCUGCUGGGACAUAGGGAACUCUAGCUGGAGAUGAGCAGGGCCUGAGUCUGAGGGUGGCCCUGCUGAAAGCACAGUAAUAGGAGUUAUAAUCAGCUAAGAGCAGGAAAUCUACUUUAUUUUUCUAAUGUUAUUCUUUGCUUUCUAGAUAAAACAGCAUGUAAGCAUCUCUGCAGUUGCUGUCCCCAGAGCCCACUUCCUGGAUAUUGCCAGCUGCCUGGACCAACCUUUCCGAAAGAUCAGCCAGGUCACAGUGAGGGUCAAAGCAGGAGGCCACUGGAGGCUCCAAGGGCUCUGAAAUGUUGAGAACUUCCCUGCAGGUACCAGCGAAGAGGGCAAGAACACAGCACUACUUCCUUGGAUACUGUUUCCCUCCUCAGAGGGGUUUUCUGAGCUGCCCUGGGUCCUGUGAGGAAGAUCUCCCCUUCCUGUAAAGACACCAGUCCUACUGGAUCAGGGCCCACCCGUGUGACUUCACUUUUACUUGAGUACCUCUCACAGACCCUAACUCCAAAUCAGGUCACUUGCUGAGGUACUGCAUGUGAAGACUUUGACAUUUGAAUUUUGAGGGGGCCACCGUUUAACCUGAACCACCAAGGACAGAGCCAAAGACCCUGGGUGACAGGCCCAGAACAGGACCUGGUGGAGGCUCUUCUUUAGGGGAGAGAGGGAAAUGGGAGCCACCACUGGCAGAGCCUGAAGGCAGGGCAGCCAGAAAGAAGCUGUGGGAGUCCCCACCAUGGAAGACCCUGCCGAGCAUCCUGUGUCUCCUGAAGCAGACCCUGACAUGAGGACUGGGGGCACGUGUUUAUUAAGGGCGAUCCCCGGAAGGAGGAGAUAACCAGAAGUCCUAGCAGAGUAUGCCCACGCUGGUUAGUGCUGCUGCAAAGAUGAGCCGAAGACCAUGAGAGACCUCCAGGUGGUCCUUCUGGGGAGAAGAAAUGGGUUUUGGCCCCAAAUCCUUCUGCUGCAUUUUUCCCCUAUCCCUGGGAAGCCAUGAGACCUCAAACCUGUGUUCCCAAGGAGGCGAGCUGCUGUUCCCAGGUGAUGAUAUGAUGUGCUUGGGGAAAGUAAGUGGCUGCCAGACAUGGCUGAGAGCUGUUGUCACUGCCGUCAAGUGCAUGUCUCCAAGCCAUAUCACACGGCGUCCCUCGAUGUGAGGCCACAUGGCAAGUGGGCCGUGGAUCUCCCUCUGCCCUUUGCAAGCACGUAAGACAGCAGAUUUUGCAGAUACCUUGUGGCGCAGGGGAAUUUCCUUUGGCCAGGUCUGAAGAAAUAAAGCAGCAGGCACCGAGAACAAAGCCAAGGCUUUCAAAAGACAAGGAGCCAAAAAACUUACUCAAAAUAAAAGUAGUUUUAAAAUG